GACGAACGCUGGCGGCGUGCCUAAUACAUGCAAGUAGAACGCUGAAGCUUGGUGCUUGCCCCGAGCGGAUGAGUUGCGAACGGGUGAGUAACGCGUAGGUAACCUGCCUGGUAGCGGGGGAUAACUAUUGGAAACGAUAGCUAAUACCGCAUAAGAGUAGAUGUUGCAUGACAUUUGCUUAAAAGGUGCAAUUGCAUCACUACCAGAUGGACCUGCGUUGUAUUAGCUAGUUGGUGAGGUAACGGCUCACCAAGGCAACGAUACAUAGCCGACCUGAGAGGGUGAUCGGCCAAACUGGGAAUGGGACACGGCCCAGACUCCUACGGGAGGCAGCAGUAGGGAAUCUUCGGCAAUGGACGGAAGGCUGACCGAGCAAAGCCGCGGGAGUGAAGAAGGGUUUCGGAUCGUAAAGCUCUGUUGUAAGAGAAGAACGAGUGUGAGAGUGGAAAGUUCACACUGUGACGGUAUCUUACCAGAAAGGGACGGCUAACUACGUG
RNAcentral lists this ribosomal RNA (497 nucleotides) under uncultured bacterium. Its description in RNAcentral is "partial 16S ribosomal RNA". It matches the Rfam family "Bacterial small subunit ribosomal RNA", at positions 28 to 507 of the family's 1533-position model. The record is from RNAcentral.